RNAcentral lists this ribosomal RNA (721 nucleotides) under uncultured Pseudomonadota bacterium. RNAcentral's name for it is "bacterial SSU rRNA". It matches the Rfam family "Bacterial small subunit ribosomal RNA", at positions 61 to 771 of the family's 1533-position model. The record is from RNAcentral. Lineage: Bacteria; Pseudomonadati; Pseudomonadota.
GUCGAACGGUAACAGGAAGAAGCUUGCUUCUUUGCUGACGAGUGGCGGACGAGUGAGUAAUGUCUGGGAAACUGCCUGAUGGAGGGGGAUAACUACUGGAAACGGUAGCUAAUACCGCAUAACGUCGCAAGACCAAAGAGGGGGACCUUCGGGCCUCUUGCCAUCGGAUGUGCCCAGAUGGGAUUAGCUAGUAGGUGGGGUAACGGCUCACCUAGGCGACGAUCCCUAGCUGGUCUGAGAGGAUGACCAGCCACACUGGAACUGAGACACGGUCCAGACUCCUACGGGAGGCAGCAGUGGGGAAUAUUGCACAAUGGGCGCAAGCCUGAUGCAGCCAUGCCGCGUGUAUGAAGAAGGCCUUCGGGUUGUAAAGUACUUUCAGCGGGGAGGAAGGGAGUAAAGUUAAUACCUUUGCUCAUUGACGUUACCCGCAGAAGAAGCACCGGCUAACUCCGUGCCAGCAGCCGCGGUAAUACGGAGGGUGCAAGCGUUAAUCGGAAUUACUGGGCGUAAAGCGCACGCAGGCGGUUUGUUAAGCCAGAUGUGAAAUCCCCGGGCUCAACCUGGGAACUGCAUCUGAUACUGGCAAGCUUGAGUCUCGUAGAGGGGGGUAGAAUUCCAGGUGUAGCGGUGAAAUGCGUAGAGAUCUGGAGGAAUACCGGUGGCGAAGGCGGCCCCCUGGACGAAGACUGACGCUCAGGUGCGAAAGCGUGGGGAGCAA